Unclassified non-coding RNA from Macaca nemestrina (pig-tailed macaque), 338 nucleotides. Its record names the gene 7SK. It matches the Rfam family "7SK RNA". Rfam says of the family: 7SK was discovered as an abundant small nuclear RNA in the mid-70s but a possible function has only recently been suggested. Two independent studies have found that 7SK RNA binds the CDK9/cyclin T complex (known as elongation factor P-TEFb). The record is from Ensembl. NCBI's taxonomy places the organism in Eukaryota, Metazoa, Chordata, Mammalia, Primates, Cercopithecidae.
GGAUGUGAGGGUGAUCUGGCUGUGACAUCUGUCACCCCAUUGAUCGCCAGGGUUGAUUCGGCUGAUCUGGCUGGCUAGGCGGGUGUCCCCUUCCUCCCUCACCGCUCCACGUGCGUCUCUCCCGAAGCUGUGCACUUGGUCGAAGAGGACGACCAUCCCCGCUAGAGGAGGACCGGUCUUCCGUCAAGGGUAAACGAGUAGCUGUGCUCCCCUGCUAGAACCUCCAAACAAGCUCUCAAAAGUGCCCUCUCACCAACUUCUUGCUAGCACUGAAUAUUAUUAUUUUAAACAUUGUUGUUUUUGUAAUUCAGCUGAUAACUGGUAGCUUGCAGUUUCAG